Molecule: ribosomal RNA, 482 nt
Filed under: uncultured bacterium
Lineage: Bacteria
Description: bacterial SSU rRNA
Rfam family: Bacterial small subunit ribosomal RNA
Source: RNAcentral
UUGAACGCUGGCGGCAUGCCUUACACAUGCAAGUCGAACGGCAGCACGGACUUCGGUCUGGUGGCGAGUGGCGAACGGGUGAGUAAUGCAUCGGAACGUGCCAUUGAGUGGGGAUAACGUAGCGAAAGUUGCGCUAAUACCGCAUAUUCUGUGAGCAGGAAAGCAGGGGACCGCAAGGCCUUGCGCUCUUUGAGCGGCCGAUGUCAGAUUAGCUAGUUGGUGAGGUAAAGGCUUACCAAGGCGACGAUCUGUAGCGGGUCUGAGAGGAUGAUCCGCCACACUGGAACUGAGACACGGUCCAGACUCCUACGGGAGGCAGCAGUGGGGAAUUUUGGACAAUGGGGGCAACCCUGAUCCAGCCAUGCCGCGUGAGUGAAGAAGGCCUUCGGGUUGUAAAGCUCUUUCGGCCGGGAAGAAAUCGCAUGGGCCAAUACCCUGUGUGGAUGACGGUACCGGAAUAAGAAGCACCGGCUAACUACGUG